Long non-coding RNA from Corythoichthys intestinalis (scribbled pipefish), 508 nucleotides. RefSeq lists it as uncharacterized. The record is from RefSeq and is a predicted model, not a curated record. Lineage: Eukaryota; Metazoa; Chordata; Actinopteri; Syngnathiformes; Syngnathidae. The transcript has 2 exons.
CAAGCGGUCCAAGCUUGCUGUGUGAGAGUAAUUAAGCCUCAUUAGGAAAAGCUGUUUUUAAUUUGCUCUCAUUAAAAACAGCCUUUUGCACUCUGUGUGUGUCUCUAAGGUGUACAGACACUCAAUUCACUCGCUCCCCGGUGUGCUUCAGAACUUCAUCGAACCAGACAACAAUGAAGGCCCGUUCCACACAAGCAGUGCCCAAGAAGAGGUGUCGUCGUGCUCGAUCCAGAACUCUUCACCAGGUUAGUUCAGCCCGGUCGUGUGCUCUGGACUUCCUGCUGGGUGCUCAUAGUUUACCAAGACCUGUUAUGCUCCGAUUAGUGAGCUCAGAAGCUUCAAGGGUCUCGAGAAGGAAUGGCCUCAGAGUUGUGCGUCUACGUGAUAUCGAUGCCGCGGUCGCGUUGCUGCGACGGAGGACGUGUACAGAGGUUGCUGCUUGACUUGUUGGAUGGGAACUGUAAUCUUUUAUUCGUUAUUAAAGAGUUUAUUUUUAAUGAACCCUCAA